Paramuricea clavata is the source of this 305-nucleotide non-coding RNA. NCBI's taxonomy places the organism in Eukaryota, Metazoa, Cnidaria, Anthozoa, Malacalcyonacea, Plexauridae. The record is from the annotation of a GenBank genome assembly.
GUGCGUUUGACCUUUAUUGCUGCCGAAGGCAGCACACUAUUCUUGACAUGAAGUAUUGCGUGCCUGCGUUUACUUGUGCCCAGUCUCUUUGGCCGAGUUAUGUAUAGUCGAUCGAGAUUUCGAUUUGAGAAUUUGUGUCUGUCUGUUUGUAAAGAUGUCGUAAUUCCGGGGAAAUAAUUAAGGCUUCACGAAAUUUUUUUAAACGAGGGGGGUGGUCAAAAUUUAUUUUGUAUUGCGCUCGCAUGAUACACUGGCAUGUUGGAUUUUCACAAAUCGACAAUAUUUUGAAUAAUUCAGGUAAGAAU